ACAAGGUAGAUUUUAAUUGCUAUCGAACCAGUUUUAUAAUUUAAUUGAAUUAUUCUCAUGUUUUCUCAUGGAUUCAAUUAAAACAUUAUGUACGCAUCUUCCUUUCAAGUAACUAGAUCUAGUAAAAAAAAAAGUGCUAGUGUUGAGAUAUGAUAUAGUUACGUAGGGGCGAUAGAAUCUAGACCUACGACCUACUGUGAUUUACUGGUGUACGUGAUAACAUUUGACCGGUUUCGACCUUCACAAGGACACAACUAGUUUAUGGCCUAUUGUCACACGUGGGUCAAGAUUUUUAGUCUAAAAAAAAAAUUGACCUUCUAGUGACUUGGUAAUUCGCGAAGAGGAACAAUGUCGCCAACACACCAGUUUCACCCUUUUCCACUCAGCUGAUGUAUCCAAAGGAUCGGCAAGUGACAAUGCAGUUUCGUAGGAUUUGUCAGGAUGUAGCACUGAGUGCUGCUAACUGCCCAACUGCCCAAGGGUCGUCGGCUCCUGAUUUCCAAAGCCUUUCUCAUGAUUGCGUAUUGCUGCAUGUAGGCAGAGGUUUGAAUUCAAAGCUUUCCUUUUCCUAGGUAGGUAGCUAGUAAUGACUAACGAGCCCAUUCUGUCCGAAACUUGCUGGUUAAGUCGCCAGUUACUCUUCUUCUCCCCUUCUUCUAUUAAUGAAAACAGUUCCACCGGACUCAAUAUCUGAGUCACACGUAAAGGCCAGGAGUUGGACUGGUUGUCAGAGGCUAUUUGAGACACAUGCCAUUAUAGGUAUUAGAGUGCUUAUAUCCAUUACCACUUCCGGCAAUGACAACCUGGCGGAAGAGCAAUUAGUUUUCUCUUAAGACCUAAUGAAUGAUAGAUUUUUAAAAAAAGGAACAUUUUUACCCUCCGGGUCCCGCCUCAGUGCCCUUCUCUCAAACGAAAAAAAAAAUCUGGAUCAGCGAAUGUAUAAAUUAAAGUAAAUAAAAUUGUAAUGAUAGACCCAUACACGCAGAAACACAUGCUGACACUAUUUGCUCAAGAUAAAUAUUUUCAAGACCAAUUUUAAUUUUAGAAGAUCAUAUUUCACUAACGCAGUAUUAGUCUUAUCUUGAGCACUAAAGCCAUUUCCCUGUAACAUUUCAACUGAAAUCUAAAUCUAACUACUAGAAGAAAUGUUGAGACGUUGGCAAAAGAUUAUAUCAAUGGACCUCAUUCACCAAAAAGAACGGUCACGUGAUAAUAUUGAUAAAACAAUGAAAAAAAAAAACUGUCACGUGAUAACCAUUGUUGAUUAAAAUGAGAUCGUAAUUUGUAUAGAAGAGAAAGAGAAUCACGUGGCUAAAUGUUUGUUUACGAUUGGUGAAUGAGGUCCAUUCACUCCGUCUGUAUGUCUGGUACACAUUUUGUACACGUUAAUCCCACUACCCAUUCUUGGAUCAUGCUGAAACAAACAUAUGUGAAAGAAAAUCUGACUGUGCGUUGGAGAAGCCGGGCUUUUCACAAAGCUUAUAUCUGUCCAAGAAAGCUAUGGACAGUGAAAGUACAUGGGUCUCAGCUCAGGAAGAAAAACGUACAAUCCGAAAAACGGCCAGCUCCACUACCACCGAAGCAAAAGGCACCUUAACCUGCGCUAUCUGUGGACGAGAGUGUCUCUCCAAUAUAGGGCUCCACAGCCACAUGAGGAAAGUGUGCUCUGAGAUGAACCAUAGUCGUUCUACGACUGAAGGAGGCCAAUGACGACAAUGAUAUCUGUCCGUCCGUCUGUCUGGUAAAAAAUUUGCACACGUUAUUUCUCCUACACUCAUUCUCGGAUCAAGUUGAAAUUUUGCACAAUUAUUCAUUGGCGCAGACAAGAUAUGAAUCAAUAAAAGUAACUAAUUAGUCAAUUAAUUUUCUAAAGAUUAUUUUGACCUGCAUUCAUUCUUUCAUUCUUAGACAAGAUAAACCAAUACGAUCAUUGGCCAUAUACCUGAAUAUCUGUCCGUUAAUAGGCUAACCAAAAAUUGCCAUAAAACAAUUACUAAACAAUUAUUAAUUAAAUAAGCAUAGCCAGAUUUGUUAAAAUAAACUUCUAAGACAUCGUGCCCCCAGAGCAUUGCAUAGAAGGCUUGACAAAACAACUCAUUGCACCAAAGUAUGUAAUAAAAAAAGUUAACCACUUAGACGGGCCUACCAUUGAUAGAGGUUUUAAACAUGGCAAAAGACAAGGAGGAAUGGAGAAAAACGGUCGACAAAUCUUGCUUGGUGCCCCAACGGUCCAACAGACUAAGGGAUAGGUAAGGUAAGUAAAACCACUUACACACACACACACACACACUCGCGCGUGCGUACACACACACACACAAACAUCUUUAAAUUAUUCCUAAAAAAUAAUCCAAGCAUCAUUGUCCGAAAGCAUUGACUGGUCAAGUUGGCUUGAAAGACUCCCCAGAUCAUCACUGUCCCCCUGCAUUGACUGGUCAAGUUGGCUUGAAAGACUCCCCAGAUCAUCACUGUCCCCCUGCAUUGCUCCAAAUAAUUUAUUUUUCUAAAACCAGAAUUAUUCUUACUUUAAACCCUUGACAUCAGUGGCGUAGCUAAGGGUUAGGCGGCCCAAGAAUGGGUAUGUGAGAAAUAAGGAGUACACACUUUUUACCAGACAAACGUACCGGGUGAGUUGAUAUAAGCUUUGUAAAAAAAAAAAACAAGUUGCUGCAAUUAAAAUAAAACGGAUUUUCUGGUAACAGGAUGGAAUGUAGAUCUUUGCAAUACGUAUAAAAAUAAAAGUUAGAUUAUCAAUGUGAUUAUUUCAAGUUUAAACUAACUUAUUCAUAUUGUGCAUAAGUUAUCAUUAAUUCCUACAUUUUAAGGGACCGUUACAGAUUUGUGUGCAGUUAUUGUAAAUGUUACAUUGCUGUGCACAAUGGUAUUAUUUCACGGGAGUACACUGGAACAUGUCCAUUUCUAUCAAGUAAUAUCAUUCCUCUGUCAAGAAACGUUUACAGAGGACCUUUACAAGCGUUAAGCAUCAAUAUACAUCAAGCAAUAGACUCGACAACGAUUGACAUCAGUGAUUUUUCUUGCUUGUUGAUAAAACCAAGAUCCAAGCAGUUAGUGAAGAUUCUCAUACAUGGAACCAAAUCAAAUCCUUAUCAAGCUGUUUAGUGUAACCGGUGUACAAAAUACAGAUUUAUUGAUCUCGAACGAAUCAUUUAGGACAGCUAGGCGCGAUACUAGACCUGUUUCAGCCUCAGGAUGCAGAAGAAGAAGGUGAUUUUAGCUUACAGGGCCCAGUCAAUGUCGCAAAUCAUCCAGAUCUGUCAAGCUCUGAUGGCAACAUUGGCUGUUACGUUUUUGCUGAAAGAAUCGAUGUUCAAAAUACUGUCAUCAAUAACCAAACUGCUCAACCGGUGGACGAUCAACGAAUUCCUAACAUUCCACCAGGACAAAAUCUUCCACCAUCUGGGGUACUGCAGCGUGCUCAAAAUAACAAUGUCCAGCCAUCGAUGCUACUUCCACCUACCAUCCCAGCGGACAGAAAAACGACUACAGAGCAAUUGCAAGGUCUCAAUAAUGAGCCGACUGGACCGAGGGACCUAAAUCAAAGUGCAGACUCUGCUAGGCCAAAUUCAAAUCCUUAGGAUCCAUCGUAGAAAACAAAGUAGCAACGUAUUAAAUGUUUAGUGUUUUCAAGUCAGAAGGCUAGACAAAAAAAAUACUAAACGUUUUAAUAUAUAUCUUAGUUUGUAGGAAACAUCCAGAAAAGAACUUUAUGAAAUAUUGAAUGUGUGGUAUUAUAAAUUGUCAUUCUUUUAGCUUUUUCGUCUAUUUAUAACAUCCAUGUUUCUUUGUUAUGGUCUUCUUAUUCAUUUUAUAUAAUUCUUUUUUUAUUUUUCGUAUUUUGAAAAUAUUUACUUGUAUAUUCCUUUUAAAACUACUCACUAUAUGUUUUCUUUGUAAUUUUUUUUUCAUUGUAUAUUCCUUUGUUAUUUCGCAAUUUAAAUUCCUUGGUUUUUAUUUUAUACCUUUUUUAUGUCUGUACUUUCUUUUUUUUCUUCACCUUUUUAUACAUAAGUGGUGUGUGUAUCGCUGGGAUGCAAAACAAAAAAAAAAUUUUUGAAUAUAAACUAGAAAUUUAUCUCAUUCAUUUCAGCCCAAAAACGUAUCAUGCUUUAGUCAGACAAAUCUGUUCAUGUUUAGGGCUAUAUUUGUGCAUGUCUAUUUGUAUGACUGCCUGUGUGUAUUUGAAUGUUUGUGUGUGUUUAUGCCUAUGUUUACAUAUAUGCGUGUAUGCAAGAAUAUCCACAUACGUUAGGCUAACUACAUUUUUUUUAUUGUACAAGUUAUUAGCCGAAGUUACCAGUAAAAGUUACAUGUAAGACUCAUCGGUAAAAGUUACCUGUAGACUUACGUGUAAAAGUGACCUAUAAAACUUACUAGAAAAGCACUAUACUUGUUGUUUUUCCUAAAGAUUGUCGUGCCUUUAUUUGUUCAGUUUUAUGUUUCAUUUAAAAGCUUGUAUUAAAUGUGUUGAAAUAUCGAAAAGUGAAAUAAUUCGUAAAGUAUUAAGAGAGAAGGCUGUAAAUGUGUAGUUAUUCUCAUAGAUAAGUUUGUUUGUUUUUUAAGUAUUUUUUAUAUUUUUCUGCCUUUCACUUGAUGAAAAAUAAAUAUUAUUGCUUCAUAAAUAACUAGCCAAUUUGAAAUUGAAUGGCCUAUAAAGUGAGGGUCUUGGGGUUUGAAUCCCACUGAAGCUCCUGAUUUUUUAUUGACAUGUCAAUGGCGUCAUCCCAACAUUUAUUUCGGCACGUUAAGUGCCACUUAAGCAGACGAAACUUUAUAAAACUCGCUGCCCAGGAACCGCCUGAGAUAUUUAAUAUGAUACGUUUAAUAUCAUUUUGAGAUAUUAAAUAUGAUACGUUUAAUAUCAUUUUGAGAUAUUUAAUAUGAUACGUUUAAUAUCAUUUUGAGAUAUUUAAUAUGAUACGUUUAAUAUCAUUUUGAGAUAUUUAAUAUGAUACGUUUAAUAUCAUUUUGAGAUAUUUAAUAUGAUACGUUUAAUAUCAUUUUGAGAUAUUUAAUAUGAUACGUUUAAUAUCAUUUUGAGAUAUUUAAUAUGAUACGUUUAAUAUCAUUUUGAGAUAUUUAAUAUGAUACGUUUAAUAUCAUUUUGCAAUGUCUCACGCAACCUUAUAUAUACUCUGUUUUUAUAUAUUAAACCUCUUUCCUUUAACUCUUUCUCUCCGCAAUUAUUCUCCUCGUUUCGAUAGUAUUAUUCCUUUUGCUCAUUUGUAAUUCACCAUCCUGUUAGGAUUAAUUUUCAAACUUUUUGUUUGUUAUCAGAAAAUGUUAUAUUUGGUAUUAAAUUGUUGUAGAAAUCAUGCUUUUUUUUUUACACAACACAAUUUAAAGCUUAUAAAUCCAAAAAUUAAUUUAGUUUAAUUGGGUCAAAUCAACGUUGACAUUGUCAAUCAGGAGAGAAAGAGUUAAAUUAUUCCAUAAGAAUACGAUUUCAAAUUGUUUAAAGGUUCGCGAUUUUUUUGUUGUUUUAGUUCCAUUGCCCUAUAUGUGUGUAUGUUUGUGUAUGGUUGUGCAUUUAGAGACUAUUUGCACUUUAUUUUGUUCAUAUAGUUUCUGACACGGUGCAGGUCACUUGGAUUUUUACAUUGUUUUAAACCUUGGCCAAUACAAUAUUCUAUAUUUGUUUUACUUCUACAUAUCUACUUAUGUGCUGGACACAAAACUCUCAUAUAUGUCGCGUCAUUUAUGUUUCAUAUUCAUAAAUUUAAACAAAUGUCAAUAGAAUAGAGAGAGAGACAACACUUAUUUUCUGACAUAUCAAUACACAAAAAUUGUUCUGACAAAAAUCAUUUUACAAGCCUUUAAGCACAACUGAAUAAGCCUGACUUUUGAAAAUAAUAGUUUAAUAUCAUAUCUAAUAUAUAAUUCUUUUUUUAAAUUUAAAUAUUGUAUAUCAAUAAAAUGUUCACUUGUUCCUGGUCUUUGUGUAGGCCUAUUACUGCUUGUAUAUCAAUAAAAUGUUCACUUGUUCCUGGUCUUUGUGUAGGCCUAUUACUGCUUGCCCAAUCCAAUGCACAAUAUGCAAUAUACACUAUCUAAUUAUUUUUUAAAACUUGAUAUGGUUACCAUUUGUUAAUAUUCAUAAUUCUGUUUUAAUUUCCGGGGGCAGCAGCACUCUAAAAUGCUCUUAUACCUUGUUAAAGUGUUCUGACGUUGAGGCAAUGUUAUGUCAGUUGUGUUCUAGUAAACUUCAUUUCACCUUUCACCUGGAUAAUUCCAGAGGCUCAAAUUACAUCUCUACUUUUUUUUUGGUAUCACUAAGCAUUACGUUAUUCAUUGUAUUAGAUCUAGUAGUUCAAAGAUCACCCAAUGAAAGAAAUCCAUUGGGGUAUUGUUUUUGAGAUUAUUUUGCUUAAGAAAAAAUGCGUAUUUAUUCUUUAUCAAUACAUAUCCAGAAAAUAUCUAAUCGCUUUAUAUAUGCUGUUGUUGUUAUGAUAUAAUCUCUUUCUCGCUCUAGGGUAUCUAUCUCUCUCUCUCUCUCUCUCUCUCUCUCUCUCUCUCUAUAUAUAUAUAUAUAUAUAUAUAUAUAUAUAUAUAUAUAUAUAUAUAUAUAUAUAUAUAUAUACAUAUAUAAGUGUGUGUGUGUGUACACACACACACUUACAUACUUGCAUGUAUAUCUGCUUUCAAUAAAUUAAAUCUAUACAUUUAUAUUUGAAAAAUAUCAAUGUAUGGACAAUUAUUUUUUAUUAUUUCUGUUUAUUUGUAGUUGUAGGAUUCUACCUCAAUAAUCUUAAUUAAUACUAUUAUUGUAAACUUUUGCAAAAUAUAUAUUAAAUUAGUAUGCCAUUUUUGGAUUAAUAAACGCUUUCUUAAUGCUUCAAUUGUUUUUUUUAUUUUCAGUAAUUGAGACCAUGCCUUAUAUUGUGUUCAUCAAGUCACCAGCAAACCUUUUCGUGUUUGUGUAGGGUGUGGCAAAAUAUGUAGGUCACAGCUGGGGCUUCGUAGCGACGUGUAAUACUGCACUCCUCAUUAAGCUUCGGACUGAAGACAAGCCUUAUUAAUUCACUAACUUACAUCAUAGCUUCACAGUUGCUAAUACACCAACAAUUUUACUUGAGGCUGUCAAUGUUUUCAAAUAGACAACCAGUUAUGGCUACAGUGAACAUUAGAGUGAACAGGCCACAACUUUCCUGUCAGUAUUUCCUUAAUUUAAAGUGACUAAGUCGAAUCUCAAACAAUGCAAGACUGUAAUAACUAAAAAAAAAUAUAUAUAUCCUUAUAUCAUAAGUCACCUGUAUAAUAACAAGUAUAAUACAAAGUAUAAUAGAUAUCACGUAUAAUACAUAUCAAGUAUAACACCUAGAAUAAUACAUACCAAAUAUUUAGAAACAAAUAUAAUACAAACCUAGUAUAAUACAUACCAAGUAUAAUAUCAAAUAAAAUACCUAGUAUAAUACAUAUACAUACCAAAUAUAAUACAAACAAAUAUAUAUACAAGUAUAGUAGGCUACAUGCAAAGUACAAGAUACAAUUACAAGACGGGUGAUUUACUUGAUAAGAUUUCAAUGACUUUGACUUUUUAGUUUCGUAUAUUAUUUCGUCCUGGUUCAACCCACCUUCAGGGCGGGCCGGGAAGGCAGAGGAGGCUGCGGUCUGGGUUCGAACACGGGACCAUCGAGGUGACAGACCGGCGUGUUACCAUAUGUAUUUAUUCAUCGAAUUUAAAUGCCAGACAGCCAAGUAGGAACUCGACUUAUGAAUGAUCCUAGCUCUAAUAGUUUGCUGAAACUUAAUUCAUUUUACAAAGAUGGCACUAACAUUGUACACUGUGUAUACAGAUGUGUUGCUCUCUCUCUCUCUCUCGGGCGCGGUGGCUGAGUGGCUAAGCGCUUGGUUCCAAACCUGGGGUCCUGGGUUUAAAUCUCAGUGAAGACUGGAAUUCUGAAUUUCGGGAGUCUUAAUGGGUACCUGGCUUUAGUUGGCGAAAGUAAAGGCGGCUGGUCGUAUUAUUGGCCAAAUGACACCCUGCUCGUUAACCGUUUGCCACAGAAACAAAUGAUCUUAACAUGUGCCCUAUAGAUCGCAAGGGCGGCUGGUCGUUGUGCUGGCCAAAUGACACACCGCUCGUUAACCGUUUGCCACAGAAACAAAUGAUCUUAACAUCAUCUGCCCUAUAGAUCGCAAAGUCUGAAAGAGGAACAACUUUAAUUCUCUCUCUCUUUCUCUCUCUCUCUCUCUGUGUGUGUGUGUGUAUGUGUGUGUUAUCAACAGCAGACAACUAGGUUGACUUGGUCAUGUUCAUUGAAUGACACAAGGUUGAUUACCACAAGGCGUUCUGUAUGAUGAUCUCAUUUUUAAGGUAUACUGAUGUAUGCAAAUGCAAAAUGAAGCUCUUGAAAAAUAACACUAACAGUUAGGAAAACUGGGCACUUCUACAGAGGCUAGGAGACCAAGCAUAAAGGAAGGGCCCUGGAUUACUGAUAGCAUACACACCAGAAGUAGAAAGAAGGGUGAAAGUGUAACAGCGCCUGUUGAUUACAGAUGCCCAACAAGGAUUGGCGACUUAAGUCACAUGACAAGUGGCAAAGGGAAAAAAUCGUCUCUCGAAAAGUAAAAUUCUUCAGUGUGUGUGUGUGGGGGGGGGGCUAUCGACUAGUGUGAUACAUGUAAUCUAGUGACUAACAUGCCAUUACAUGUACCAGAUAGAGACAAAGGAAUGAAAGGGACCGAGACUGAGACAGAAUAUUGAAUGAAGCGAUGAGUGGAUUUAAGUGGGAUGUCUGGCUGAGAGGCUAAAACAGCUUACCUACCUAUUAGGGAGGCUCGAGUUCGAAUCCCUACCCCAGCAGAGUUGUGUUUGCUGAGAGCAGGCAGCACGAAACUUUCUCCGGACACUUCCUCCCCACACUGGUCCUCAAAGAGAUUGAACCACAGGCCAUAGCGCACUGACCAUGCACUGACCAUGCUCUGACCAUGCACUGACCAUGCUGUAACCAUGAAGAAUGCGCUAUAGAGAAGCAAUUAGUAAAAUGUUUGUUUGUAAAAUGUUCUACGUGUUUCGGAUGCUGAAGAUCUUCAGAGUUGAAGAUAGUUUACUUCCUAGUCCAAAAAACUACCGCAAGACGACAUGGGAUGGGAGCGGGCAGGGUUCGAACCCGGGACUAUCGAAAAGUCCAAACGACAGUACAGCGAGCAAACCGCACGACUAGGCAGCCAUCCUAAAGUUGUGAUCCAAUCAUCUCUCUUGUCUUCUGCCUUGGCUAGAGACUUCAACCACCACUGUGGUGACGCAUUAAAUCCUAACCGUCUUUGAUUUUACUAAUAGAAACCAAUGAGCUGAAAGCUUACGGAGAAACAUCAGUCUUUUUGGACUUUAACAUGAGGCUGUGGAGAGACCCGGAGGAAAUUGUGCACCUCAAGUUCUGCAAAGAAAAUGAGAACACAUUCACAGAAGUGCUCAGAGUCAACAGAAGCAUCAUGCUGGUGGAGCUGUUAGCAGAAGACGUCUACAACCUCAGAGUCAUGAAAGACAACUAUGUACUAUUUGUCAACUUGCUUCGAAUGACCGAGGCCCUGGCUGGGCUGUACGGAUGCUUCAUUGGACGCGAAAAGGCACUUGUCGGAGACAGCAGCCUUAGAGUUGUUUUCAAAAAUGGCUCUCUGAGACUAACAUUAAAGAAAAUGGAUUUAAUACACAGUCCGAUCAGCCAUAUGAAAUUACUCCAGGAGAUGAAACAAACAAUGAGACGGAAGAACUAGGAAUUUUGACCAAUCGGUCUCCGCCCUUGUUACAAAAUGUCACGUUAGACUUCAACGUGACAGCAGUGUCCGCAGAGAUUCCUUUCUUCAGUAUUCUAUUCCGCAAAGAGAACCAAACGUCCUGGCUGGACUUGCUGGAGGUGUACACAGCGAGCGGCCAGGUGAAGUAUCUGAGGCCGUUGAACGAGUCUAUCGCCUUCACGGACACCCCGAACACAGGCCAGGUUGGUCUCUGGCUCCACGGCUUCUCCCCGGCGAUGUACGGCGUGUAUAAAUGUUUCCACAUAUCCGCCUCUGUCUUCAUUCAAACAGAUGGAUGUGGAUACAACUUAUCGUACACAUUCGACAUAAAUGGCGGCUGCAACGAUUAUAUAAAUCUUGCCCCCGUUCUUUUGUGCUUCUUUGUGACAUUUGCGCGCCGAGAUUAAAAGAACGCUGGGUUGAAAGACCAAAGGAAAAACCCAAAAGAGAGACCCAAAGAAAAACUCUCUUGCAUACCAAAUGAUCCGAGAAUUCUCUGAGAAGAAAACUAAAAUGUGAAAGUUUAAUUUGUAAUUUGUAGCUCGAUGUUCAAUGUUAGAAAUAAAAAUGUAUCUGAAGUUA
Molecule: RNA transcript, 10335 nt
Organism: Biomphalaria glabrata
Lineage: Eukaryota; Metazoa; Mollusca; Gastropoda; Planorbidae
Exons: 12
Source: RefSeq, a predicted model, not a curated record